CAAAAUUUCCCGCCUGGGCUGCCUUGCGUCUGUUUCAAUAUAGACCCCCCCUCCCUCGGACAGUCGGGGAUGAGUGCGCUAACAUACCUGUAGGUUGCUGUUUUAAUGAGUGUUUGAUGGAAAACAAGAAUGGCGGAGUUUGCGUUCUCCAGUCGCAUGAUAGGAGCCGCCCUUUGCUUUGUUGACAGCACUGCAGACCCUCGGCCUUCUUUCUGUGAGCUUCAUGAUGUCGUCACCUGAGAUGGUUUCACCUCACAGGUGUGCCUGUCAGGGGUCAUUGGUGGAGUUUCUUGCCUUCUUAAUGAGGUUGGGACCAUCAGCAGGACAAUGAGCCCAAACACACCUCCAGACUGCGUCAGGGCUAUUUGACCAAGAAGGAGAGUGAUGGAGGCCUGGUCUCCGCACUCACCUGACCUAAACCCAGUGGAGAUGGUUUGGGAUGAGAUGGAGCGCAGAGUGAAGGCAAAAGGGCCAACAAGUGCCCAGCACCUCUGGGGACUUCAUCAAGACAGACUAUAUAUAUUUUAUAAAUAUAUAUAUCAAAUUAUUCAGCGAUGAAAGAAAUUAAUGGAUCAGCAUGUCUUUAUCCUGUCUUCCUUCUCUCACCCCAACCAAUCACAGCAGAUGGCCCCGCCCCUCCCUGAGCCUGGUUCUGUCGGAGGUUAAAAGCGAGUUUUUCCUUCCCACUGUCGCCAAAGUGCUUGCUCAUAGGGGGUCAUAUGAUUGUUG
Molecule: long non-coding RNA, 729 nt
Organism: Oreochromis aureus
Lineage: Eukaryota; Metazoa; Chordata; Actinopteri; Cichliformes; Cichlidae
Source: Ensembl